CCUACGGGUGGCAGCAGUGAGGAAUAUUGGUCAAUGGACGAGAGUCUGAACCAGCCAAGUAGCGUGACGGAUGACUGCCCUAUGUGUUGUCAACUUCUUUUAUAUGGGAAUAAAAUGUUCCACGUGUGGGCUUUUGUAUGUACCAUAUGAAUAAGCAUCGGCUAACUCCGUGCCAGCAGCCGCGGUAAUACGGAGGAUCCGAGCGUUAUCCGGAUUUAUUGGGUUUAAAGGGAGCGUAGGUGGAUUGUUAAGUCAGUUGUGAAAGUUUGCGGCUCAACCGUAAAAUUGCAGUUGAAACUGGCAGUCUUGAGUAGAGUAGAGGUGGGCGGAAUGCGUGGUGUAGCGGUGAAAUGCUUAGAUAUCACGAAGAACUCCGAUUGCGAAGGCAGCUCACUGGACUGCAACUGACACUGAGGCUCGAAAGUGUGGGUAUCAAACAGGAUUAGAUACCCGAGUAGUC
RNAcentral lists this ribosomal RNA (460 nucleotides) under uncultured bacterium. RNAcentral describes it as "partial 16S ribosomal RNA". It matches the Rfam family "Bacterial small subunit ribosomal RNA", at positions 338 to 795 of the family's 1533-position model. The record is from RNAcentral.